UACGAAGGGGGCUAGCGUUGCUCGGAAUCACUGGGCGUAAAGGGUGCGUAGGCGGGUCUUUAAGUCAGGGGUGAAAUCCUGGAGCUCAACUCCAGAACUGCCUUUGAUACUGAGGAUCUUGAGUUCGGGAGAGGUGAGUGGAACUGCGAGUGUAGAGGUGAAAUUCGUAGAUAUUCGCAAGAACACCAGUGGCGAAGGCGGCCGACUGGUCCGGUUCUGACGCUGAGGCGCGAAAGCGUGGGAGCAAACAGG
RNAcentral lists this ribosomal RNA (252 nucleotides) under uncultured bacterium. RNAcentral's name for it is "partial 16S ribosomal RNA". It matches the Rfam family "Bacterial small subunit ribosomal RNA", at positions 524 to 776 of the family's 1533-position model. The record is from RNAcentral.